Molecule: transfer RNA, 72 nt
Filed under: Heterocephalus glaber (naked mole-rat)
Lineage: Eukaryota; Metazoa; Chordata; Mammalia; Rodentia; Bathyergidae
Rfam family: tRNA
About the family: Transfer RNA (tRNA) molecules are approximately 80 nucleotides in length. Their secondary structure includes four short double-helical elements and three loops (D, anti-codon, and T loops). Further hydrogen bonds mediate the characteristic L-shaped molecular structure. tRNAs have two regions of fundamental functional importance: the anti-codon, which is responsible for specific mRNA codon recognition, and the 3' end, to which the tRNAs corresponding amino acid is attached (by aminoacyl-tRNA synthetases). tRNAs cope with the degeneracy of the genetic code in two manners: having more than one tRNA (with a specific anti-codon) for a particular amino acid; and 'wobble' base-pairing, i.e. permitting non-standard base-pairing at the 3rd anti-codon position.
Source: Rfam by way of RNAcentral
GGAGAUGUGGCUCAGUAGUAGAGUGCUCGCCUAGCAUGCAGGAGGCUCUGGGUUGAAUCCCCAGCACCCCUU